This is a long non-coding RNA of Oncorhynchus masou masou (cherry salmon), 236 nucleotides long. RefSeq lists it as uncharacterized. NCBI's taxonomy places the organism in Eukaryota, Metazoa, Chordata, Actinopteri, Salmoniformes, Salmonidae. The transcript is spliced from 3 exons. The record is from RefSeq and is a predicted model, not a curated record.
CUUCCUUCCUCAGGAACAAGAUGUUCAUCUAUAGGGGAAGGAGUACGAGAGGAGAGAGGACUUUGAGGCCAGACUGCUCACCCAGUUCCCCAACGCGGACAAGAUGAAGACGACCACGCCGCCCGGCGACGACAUCAAGACCUCUUCCUCACAGUACAUCCAGUGUUUCACCGUCAAGCCUGUUCUAGAACUCCUUCAAAGUUCCAGAACAAACCCGUCUCUGAGCAGAUCGUCAG